This 460-nucleotide ribosomal RNA is filed under the name uncultured bacterium. RNAcentral's name for it is "partial 16S ribosomal RNA". It matches the Rfam family "Bacterial small subunit ribosomal RNA", at positions 338 to 795 of the family's 1533-position model. The record is from RNAcentral.
CCUACGGGGGACAGCAGUGAGGAAUAUUGGUCAAUGGGCGGGAGCCUGAACCAGCCAAGUAGCGUGAAGGAUGACGGCCCUACGGGUUGUAAACUUCUUUUAUAAAGGAAUAAAGUGAGUCACGUGUGCCUUUUUGUAUGUACUUUAUGAAUAAGGAUCGGCUAACUACGUGCCAGCAGCCGCGGUAAUACGGAGGGUCCGAGCGUUAUCCGGAUUUAUUGGGUGUAAAGGGAGCGUAGAUGGGUUGUUAAGUCAGUUGUGAAAGUUUGCGGCUCAACCGUAAGACUGCAAUUGAGACUGGCAGCCUUGAGUACAGUUGAGGCAGGCGGAAUUCGUGGUGUAGCGGUGAAAUGCUUAGAUAUAACGAAGAACUCCGAUUGCGAAGGCAGCCUACUAAACUGCCACUGACAUUGAUGCGCGAAAGUGUGGGGAUCAAACAGGAUUAGAUACCCGGGUAGUC